RNA transcript from Carlito syrichta (Philippine tarsier), 1896 nucleotides. It is a transcript of the gene named actin like 6A, with no coding region annotated. The record is from RefSeq and is a predicted model, not a curated record. The transcript is spliced from 14 exons. NCBI's taxonomy places the organism in Eukaryota, Metazoa, Chordata, Mammalia, Primates, Tarsiidae.
AGGCGUACGCCGGGAUCCUCGUGAUUGGCUGGUACGGGGUGGGCAGCAAGUGUGGCUGCGCUCGGGGUGUGUGGACGCCGCUUUGUUGCCCGAGGGGGUGGUGGUGGAAGUUAAGGGGUUCGGGGGCUAGCGCUUCUUGGGGCCCGCACGUCGCGGCCGCUCUGCCUGGUCGCCUUGAGCGUAGGAGUCGCGCCGACGGCAGCCAUGAGCGGCGGCGUGUAUGGGGGAGAUGAAGUUGGAGCCCUUGUUUUUGACAUUGGGUCUUAUACUGUGAGAGCUGGUUAUGCUGGUGAGGACUGCCCCAAGGUAGAUUUUCCCACAGCUAUCGGUAUGGUGGUAGAAAGAGAUGAUGGAAGCACCUUGAUGGAAAUAGAUGGCGAUAAAGGCAAACAAGGAGGUCCCACCUACUACAUAGAUACGAAUGCCCUGCGUGUUCCCAGGGAGAAUAUGGAGGCCAUUUCACCACUGAAAAAUGGCAUGGUUGAAGACUGGGACAGUUUCCAGGCAAUUUUGGAUCAUACCUAUAAAAUGCACGUCAAAUCAGAAGCCAGCCUGCAUCCUGUUCUCAUGUCAGAAGCACCAUGGAAUACUAGAGCAAAGAGAGAAAAACUGACAGAGUUAAUGUUUGAACACUACAAUAUUCCUGCAUUCUUCCUUUGCAAAACUGCAGUUUUGACAGCAUUUGCUAAUGGUCGUUCUACUGGACUGAUUUUGGACAGUGGUGCCACUCAUACCACUGCGAUACCAGUCCAUGAUGGCUAUGUCCUUCAACAAGGCAUUGUGAAAUCCCCUCUUGCUGGAGACUUUAUUACUAUGCAGUGCAGAGAACUGUUCCAAGAAAUGAAUAUAGAAUUGAUUCCUCCGUAUAUGAUUGCAUCAAAAGAAGCUGUGCGUGAAGGAUCUCCAGCAAACUGGAAAAGAAAAGAGAAGUUGCCACAGGUUACGAGGUCUUGGCACAAUUACAUGUGUAAUUGUGUUAUCCAGGAUUUUCAAGCUUCAGUACUUCAAGUGUCAGAUUCAACUUAUGAUGAACAAGUAGCUGCACAGAUGCCAACUGUCCAUUACGAAUUUCCCAAUGGCUACAACUGUGAUUUUGGGGCAGAACGGUUAAAGAUUCCGGAAGGAUUAUUUGACCCUUCCAAUGUCAAGGGCUUAUCAGGAAACACAAUGUUAGGAGUCAGUCAUGUUGUCACCACAAGUGUUGGAAUGUGUGAUAUUGAUAUCAGACCAGGGCUCUAUGGCAGUGUGAUAGUGGCAGGAGGAAACACACUGAUACAGAGUUUUACUGACAGGUUGAACAGGGAGCUCUCGCAGAAAACUCCCCCGGUAAAGUAUGCGGUUGAAAUUGAUUGCAAAUAACACAACAGUGGAACGGAGGUUUAGCUCAUGGAUUGGUGGCUCCAUUCUAGCUUCUCUGGGUACCUUUCAACAGAUGUGGAUUUCAAAACAAGAAUAUGAAGAAGGAGGGAAGCAGUGUGUGGAGAGGAAAUGCCCCUGAAAGAGUUCCCAAGCCUCUACCUUCCUCCCCACCUUACGUUUCAUAGCUUUAGUAUACUCAGGAAAAGGAUGACCAUCUUUUGUAGAAUGUUUAUACGUUUUUGCAUAUUUCAAUUUCCACUUAAAUUUUUUAAGGCUUUAACUGGCUCUAUAAAUUAAAAUAAGUUUGUGCUUUCCUUGAAAUACACUUAUUCUUAUUACAAGCAUUUUAUAAUUUUAUAUAAAUGUCUAUUUUCUCUAAAUAUUUUGCUUUCAGUAAAAUACUUUCCAACUCUGUUUAGUAUAUUAAUUACCAGUGAAUUGGUAGAACUGCUUUUAUUGACUAGUAAAAGUUACUGCCUAUGCUUUUUACUUUAGGCUUACAAAUUAAAUAAAAAUUCCUAGCCAUUCCAGAAAUAU